GAACAAAGUUUUCAGAAUAAGCUUUUCAGAAUGUAAAUGAUAGCUUCCAGAAGGACAUUUUCAAAGUAGUAGCGAAGGUAGUAGUAGCGGUGACAGCAAUAAUGGAUGAGGGAGGGUAUUUUAAUCUUUUCUUCAUAGUAUGGUGUGCAGGAAGCAAAACCCUAAGAUCUAUAGUCAAAGGCCCAAGAAUUUGAAGUAGGACUACUUGUUUGUGGGCAAUUUCUUCAUGUACCUCCAUAAUUUCUUCCCGCACCUCCAUAAUUUCUUCCCGCACCUCCAUAAUUAUUUUAAUCCCAAAAAUACCCUUUUACAAAUAGUUUUAGAUUAAGGGUUGUUGAUGUUGGAGGUGCAUGAGACUGGUGUUGUGAUGUUUGGUGGUUUUGUUGAGAGUUCUAGUGAUGAUUUGUGGUUGUUUUUGUUGCGUUGUAGUGGUUGAUGGCGAUAUUUUGUAGUGUUAUUUUGUAGUGUCGUGGUUGGUGAUGGUGUUUUGUGAUUGUGAUGUGAUGAAGUAGUUGAUUUUCUUAUAAGGUGAUAAUUUAUUUGUUAAAUUAAGAAUUGAAUUACGAAUUUUAUUAUCCGUAAACAUUUUGAAUGGU
RNAcentral lists this long non-coding RNA (596 nucleotides) under Phaseolus vulgaris (common bean). Its description in RNAcentral is "long non-coding RNA (PVUL_LNC001264)". The record is from RNAcentral. Lineage: Eukaryota; Viridiplantae; Streptophyta; Magnoliopsida; Fabales; Fabaceae.